CGAGUAAUGUCUGGGAAACUGCCCGAUGGAGGGGGAUAACUACUGGAAACGGUAGCUAAUACCGCAUAACGUCUUCGGACCAAAGUGGGGGACCUUCGGGCCUCACACCAUCGGAUGUGCCCAGAUGGGAUUAGCUAGUAGGUGGGGUAAUGGCUCACCUAGGCGACGAUCCCUAGCUGGUCUGAGAGGAUGACCAGCCACACUGGAACUGAGACACGGUCCAGACUCCUACGGGAGGCAGCAGUGGGGAAUAUUGCACAAUGGGCGCAAGCCUGAUGCAGCCAUGCCGCGUGUAUGAAGAAGGCCUUCGGGUUGUAAAGUACUUUCAGUGGGGAGGAAGGCGUUAAGGUUAAUAACCUUGGCGAUUGACGUUACCCCGCAGAAGAAGCACCGGCUAACUCCGUGCCAGCAGCCGCGGUAAUACGGAGGGUGCAAGCGUUAAUCGGAAUUACUGGGCGUAAAGCGCACGCAGGCGGUCUGUCAAGUCAGAUGUGAAAUCCCCCGGG
This 506-nucleotide ribosomal RNA is filed under the name uncultured bacterium. RNAcentral's name for it is "bacterial SSU rRNA". It matches the Rfam family "Bacterial small subunit ribosomal RNA", at positions 107 to 608 of the family's 1533-position model. The record is from RNAcentral.